Molecule: long non-coding RNA, 1810 nt
Organism: Physeter macrocephalus (sperm whale)
Lineage: Eukaryota; Metazoa; Chordata; Mammalia; Artiodactyla; Physeteridae
Exons: 3
Source: RefSeq, a predicted model, not a curated record
AUGGGACUGGAAGUUAGAUCCUUUUAUUUCACUUCUGUUACCCAAUUCUGACGACACUUCUGAAAUGCAUAAGACAGCUACUUAUCCUUCUUUUACUGAUGAGGAAACGGAAAUUUAGAGUCGAUAAGAGAAGAGCAUUGUUGGUGUCACCAGAUGAGAACUUGAGAGUCAGGGCUUAAAUGCAGGUAGAUCUCCUAACCCUAAAUUGAAGGUUGUUUACACUCUACCACUUUAAUCAAAAGGAGCUAGACUUCCUUAAUAUGUUAGUUUAUUCAUCUGUCUCUUACCUAUUGAUUGUCCACUCUAUAUCAGCCAGACUGGGGGUAGACGAUGUGAGGACAUGAAUUCUCUGCUGGGACCAUUUUCCCAAACUACUGCAGUGCAAGAGUGAAGGGCCUAGAAGAGCCAAGACACCUUUGAAGAAGGACAAAGCAGGAGAAUUGCCCAAUCACACCUUGAUUCAGGGCUUCUGAUAGCCUUUAUCAAUUUUCCAGAGGAGGAAAAAGUGCCUAACAAUGUCUUCCUGUGAAUUAGAAAAAAUGUGCACCUCCUUCCAGGCAGACACAGUCCUGUGCCAGCAUGCACAAAGCAAGAUUUGGAUUUCAGACUCCACCCAUCCUUUCAGCCUGGUGUCCUAAUGCAGGACAUAACCUCUACAACAUAUGAAGCAUUGUGUUCAGUCUUAUUAUGAUGCUGUAAGAGCUAACCGGCAUGUUUCUGGUACUGUGCAAAAAAAAAUCAAUGAAAGAGUUAGAACCCAGAAACAUACCUUUAUAUAUAUGGAAAUUAUAUGAGAGAUGUUGCAUUGUGUACCAGUGGGAAAAGAAUAGAUUAUUUGAUAAAUAAAUCUGAGACCAUUGGUUGUAGAAAAAAACGCAAAUCAUACCCUUACCUCAUGCCAUAUUAAAAAAUAAAUUCCAUGGUGGUUUGAACAAAUUUAUAUGAAAAAUGUAACUAAAUGUUUUGAAUGUUUUGAGGGGGAAAUGUCCUUUUGAAGACCUUAAGAUACGGAAAGACAAGACAUAAUCAUCACAGUCCAUAAAGGAAAAGAUUGUUAAAGUACAUUAAAAUUUAAAACUUCAUACAAAGACUCCACCAACAAAGUUAAAAGAUGACCACAGGCUGAAAAAUUUUUGCAAUGCUUAUAACCAAGAAAAUAUUAAUAAGAAAAGGUAAAAAGAACUAUCAUAAAUCAUAAAAGGCUAGUUUUUAUAUAACAAAAGAUAUAAAAGGGAUUUAUAGAAGAGAAAAUGCCAUUUAAACCUGAUGCCCAACCCCACUAAAAAUAGAAGUGCAAAUUAAAGCCAUAAUGAGAUAUGAUUUCACACCCCUCAGAUUAACCAAAAAUGUAAAGUUUGAUAAUGCCAGUGAUUGGCUGGCAUAUGGAGGGACUAGAACACUUAUACACUACUGGUGAGAGUAUAAAUCAGAAAAAUCACUUUGGAAAGCAGUAUGGAAGUAUCUAGUAGAGCUGAAGAUGUAAGUAUUCUGUGACCCAGCACUUUCUCUCCAAGGAUAUUCCUUAGAGACAGUCUCACAUAUGCAUAGGAAAUUCGUAUUAAAAUGUUCAGUUCGGCAUUUUUUGCUUGUAAUGAAAAUGAAAACCACUUGAAUAUCCAUCAACACUUACAUUUCAUAUAUUCAUAUAAUAGACAUAUAAAUCUGUGAAAAUUAUUGAACUAGAGCUUCAUGUAUCAACAUGACUAAACAGCAAAAAAAUAUAAUAGCUUUUUAAAAGUUCCAGUAGUAUAUAUAUCCUACUGGGAUAUCAAUACUCUAAUACUAAACAUGCAAAGUUCCAUAGUAAAAG